RNAcentral lists this long non-coding RNA (201 nucleotides) under Elaeis guineensis (African oil palm). RNAcentral's name for it is "long non-coding RNA (EGUI_LNC024713)". Lineage: Eukaryota; Viridiplantae; Streptophyta; Magnoliopsida; Arecales; Arecaceae. The record is from RNAcentral.
UGCUGUUUUAUUACGUCGCUGGAAAGAAAAUUGGCACAACACAGUGAGGUCAAUUCUAUAGUAAUAUUAUUUUUUUUAGUUUUGUUUAUCAUUUAUUAUGAAUUUUUAUUGUCCCCAUUAGUUUGGUAUGCAUAGAAUCCAGUAGCUUUUGGAUUUUUUUAGGGCAUCAUAUGAGGAACUUCAUUCGAUUCCUCAUCAGCA